AGUGAACGUUGGCGGCGUGGAUUAGGCAUGCAAGUCGAGCGAGAACCGUAGCAAUACGGGGACAGCGGCGAAAGGGACAGUAAUGUGUAGGUACCUACCUCCGGGUUCGGGAUAGCUGCGGGAAACUGCAGGUAAUACCGAAUAACGUCUCCGGACCAAAGGUGUGAUUCCACCUGGAGAGGGGCCUGCAUCCUAUUAGCUUGUUGGCGGGGUAACGGCCCACCAAGGCGACGAUGGGUAGCGGGUGUGAGAGCACGACCCGCGUCAUUGGGACUGAGACACUGCCCAGACACCUCCGGGUGGCUGCAGGCGUGGAUCGUCGGCAAUGGGCGCAAGCCUGACCGAGCGACGCCGCGUGCGGGAUGAAGGCCUUCGGGUUGUAAACCGCUGUCGUAGAGGAGGAAAUGCAGGGGGGUUCUCCCCUCUGUUUGACCUAUUCUAGGAGGAAGUACGGGCUAAGUUCGUGCCAGCCGCCGCGGUAA
Molecule: ribosomal RNA, 482 nt
Filed under: uncultured bacterium
Lineage: Bacteria
Description: partial 16S ribosomal RNA
Rfam family: Bacterial small subunit ribosomal RNA
Source: RNAcentral